GAUGAAGAACGCAGCGAAAUGCGAUACGUAAUGUGAAUUGCAGAAUUCAGUGAAUCAUCGAGUCUUUGAACGCACAUUGCGCCCUCUGGUAUUCCGGAGGGCAUGCCUGUCCGAGCGUCAUUGCUGCCCUCAAGCACGGCUUGUGUGUUGGGCUCCGCCCUCCUUCCGGGGGACGGGCCCGAAAGGCAGCGGCGGCACCGCGUCCGGUCCUCAAGCGUAUGGGGCUUUGUCACCCGCUUUGUAGGACUGGCCGGCGCCUGCCGAUCAACCAAACUUUUUUCCAGGUUGACCUCGGAUCAGGUAGGGAUACCCGCUGAACUUAAGCAUAUCAAUAAGCGGAGGA
Molecule: unclassified non-coding RNA, 343 nt
Filed under: soil metagenome
Description: partial contains 5.8S ribosomal RNA, internal transcribed spacer 2, and large subunit ribosomal RNA
Rfam family: 5.8S ribosomal RNA (bases 1-120)
Source: RNAcentral